Molecule: ribosomal RNA, 254 nt
Filed under: uncultured bacterium
Lineage: Bacteria
Description: partial 16S ribosomal RNA
Rfam family: Bacterial small subunit ribosomal RNA
Source: RNAcentral
UACGGGGGGAGCAAGCGUUGUUCGGAUUUACUGGGCGUAAAGGGCGCGUAGGCGGCCACCGCAAGUCGACUGUGAAAUCUCCGGGCUUAACUCGGAAAGGUCAACUGAUACUGUGCGGCUAGAGUGCGGAAGGGGCAACUGGAAUUCUUGGUGUAGCGGUGAAAUGCGUAGAUAUCGAGAGGAACACCAGUGGCGAAGGCGAGUCUCUGGACAAUUCCUGACGCUGAGGCACGAAAGCCAGGGGAGCAAACGGG